Molecule: signal recognition particle RNA, 278 nt
Filed under: Aotus nancymaae (Ma's night monkey)
Lineage: Eukaryota; Metazoa; Chordata; Mammalia; Primates; Aotidae
Description: Metazoan signal recognition particle RNA (ENSANAG00000001123.1)
Rfam family: Metazoan signal recognition particle RNA
About the family: The signal recognition particle (SRP) is a universally conserved ribonucleoprotein. It is involved in the co-translational targeting of proteins to membranes.
Source: RNAcentral
CUCGGGUGUGGUGGCACGUACCUGUAGUCCCAGCUACUUGGGAGGCUGAGGCAGGAGGAUCGCCUGAACCUAAGAGUUCUCUAUGGCGAUCUGGUGUUCGUACUAAGUUGGUCAUCAAUAUGGUGACCUCCUGGAGCAGGGAACCACCAGGUUGCCUAAGGAGGGGUGAGCCAUCCCAGGUUGGAAACCGAGCAGGUCAAAGCUCAUGCACUGAUCAGAAAGUUAAAUUAUCUUUUCUUAACCUCAGUUUCCUCAUGUGGAAAAUGAAACCUACCUCU